UACGUAGGGUGCGAGCGUUGUCCGGAUUUAUUGGGCGUAAAGAGCUCGUAGGCGGUCUGUCGCGUCGGAUGUGAAAACCCAGGGCUCAACCCUGGGCCUGCAUUCGAUACGGGCAGACUAGAGUACGGCAGGGGAGACUGGAAUUCCUGGUGUAGCGGUGAAAUGCGCAGAUAUCAGGAGGAACACCGGUGGCGAAGGCGGCCCACUGGGCAGUCACUGACGCUGAGGCGCGAAAGCUCGGGGAGCGAACGGG
RNAcentral lists this ribosomal RNA (253 nucleotides) under uncultured bacterium. RNAcentral describes it as "partial 16S ribosomal RNA". It matches the Rfam family "Bacterial small subunit ribosomal RNA", at positions 524 to 776 of the family's 1533-position model. The record is from RNAcentral.